UAAUAACUUGGUGAUGGGGUUCACCAGAAACUUAUUUUCAAACCGCAAAAAUUGCUGAUAACUCCUAUGUUAUA
This 74-nucleotide non-coding RNA is filed under the name unclassified sequences. The record is from Rfam.